UUCCUUUUCUGAUAUUCAAAAC
Molecule: unclassified non-coding RNA, 22 nt
Filed under: Mus musculus (house mouse)
Lineage: Eukaryota; Metazoa; Chordata; Mammalia; Rodentia; Muridae
Description: oocyte_clustered_small_RNA8209
Source: RNAcentral